This 305-nucleotide ribosomal RNA is filed under the name uncultured bacterium. RNAcentral's name for it is "bacterial SSU rRNA". It matches the Rfam family "Bacterial small subunit ribosomal RNA", at positions 338 to 641 of the family's 1533-position model. The record is from RNAcentral.
CCUACGGGGGGCAGCAGUGAGGAAUAUUGGUCAAUGGACGCAAGUCUGAACCAGCCAUGCCGCGUGCAGGAUGACGGCUCUAUGAGUUGUAAACUGCUUUUGUACGAGGGUAAACCCCGAUACGUGUAUCGGGUUGAAAGUAUCGUACGAAUAAGGAUCGGCUAACUCCGUGCCAGCAGCCGCGGUAAUACGGAGGAUCCGAGCGUUAUCCGGAUUUAUUGGGUUUAAAGGGUGCGUAGGCGGACUGUUAAGUCAGCGGUAAAAGCCCGGGGCUCAACCCCGGCGAGCCGUUGAAACUGGCUGUC